CCUACGGGAGGCAGCAGUAGGGAAUCUUGCGCAAUGGGCGAAAGCCUGACGCAGCCAUGCCGCGUGAAUGAUGAAGGUCUUAGGAUUGUAAAAUUCUUUCACCGGGGAAGAUAAUGACGGUACCCGGAGAAGAAGCCCCGGCUAACUUCGUGCCAGCAGCCGCGGUAAUACGAAGGGGGGCUAGCGUUGCUCGGAAUUACUGGGCGUAAAGGGCGCGUAGGCGGAUAGUUUAGUCAGAGGUGAAAGCCCAGGGCUCAACCUUGGAACUGCCUUUGAUACUGGCUAUCUUGAGUUCGGGAGAGGUGAGUGGAAUGCCGAGUGUAGAGGUGAAAUUCGUAGAUAUUCGGCGGAACACCAGUGGCGAAGGCGACUCACUGGCCCGAUACUGACGCUGAGGCGCGAAAGCGUGGGGAGCAAACAGGAUUAGAUACCCUGGUAGUCCACGCUGUAAACGAUGAGUGCUAGUUGUCGGCAUGCAUGCAUGUCGGUGACGCAGCUAACGCAUUAAGCACUCCGCCUGGGGAGUACGGUCGCAAGAUUAAAACUCAAAGGAAUUGACGG
This 561-nucleotide ribosomal RNA is filed under the name uncultured bacterium. RNAcentral's name for it is "bacterial SSU rRNA". It matches the Rfam family "Bacterial small subunit ribosomal RNA", at positions 338 to 916 of the family's 1533-position model. The record is from RNAcentral.